AUGAACGCUGGCGGCGUGCCUAAUACAUGCAAGUCGAGCGAACGGACGAGAAGCUUGCUUCUCUGAUGUUAGCGGCGGACGGGUGAGUAACACGUGGAUAACCUACCUAUAAGACUGGGAUAACUUCGGGAAACCGUAGCUAAUACCGGAUAAUAUUUUGAACCGCACGGUUCAAAAGUGAAAGACGGUCUUGCUGUCACUUAUAGAUGGAUCCGCGCUGCAUUAGCUAGUUGGUAAGGUAACGGCUUACCAAGGCAACGAUGCAUAGCCGACCUGAGAGGGUGAUCGGCCACACUGGAACUGAGACACGGUCCGGACUCCUACGGGAGGCAGCAGUAGGGAAUCUUCCGCAAUGGGCGAAAGCCUGACGGAGCAACGCCGCGUGAGUGAUGAAGGUCUUCGGAUCGUAAAACUCUGUUAUUAGGGAAGAACAUAUGUGUAAGUAACUGUGCACAUCUUGACGGUACCUAAUCAGAAAGCCACGGCUAACUACGUG
Molecule: ribosomal RNA, 496 nt
Filed under: uncultured bacterium
Lineage: Bacteria
Description: partial 16S ribosomal RNA
Rfam family: Bacterial small subunit ribosomal RNA
Source: RNAcentral